UCAGGCGUAGUUUAAGUGAAAACGCCUCUUUUACACAGAGGAGAUUUGAGUGCUCUGCGCUUGUA
Molecule: transfer RNA, 65 nt
Filed under: Degeeriella rufa
Lineage: Eukaryota; Metazoa; Arthropoda; Insecta; Psocodea; Philopteridae
Description: tRNA-Val
Rfam family: tRNA
About the family: Transfer RNA (tRNA) molecules are approximately 80 nucleotides in length. Their secondary structure includes four short double-helical elements and three loops (D, anti-codon, and T loops). Further hydrogen bonds mediate the characteristic L-shaped molecular structure. tRNAs have two regions of fundamental functional importance: the anti-codon, which is responsible for specific mRNA codon recognition, and the 3' end, to which the tRNAs corresponding amino acid is attached (by aminoacyl-tRNA synthetases). tRNAs cope with the degeneracy of the genetic code in two manners: having more than one tRNA (with a specific anti-codon) for a particular amino acid; and 'wobble' base-pairing, i.e. permitting non-standard base-pairing at the 3rd anti-codon position.
Source: RNAcentral